Anopheles funestus (African malaria mosquito) is the source of this 1849-nucleotide long non-coding RNA. RefSeq lists it as uncharacterized. NCBI's taxonomy places the organism in Eukaryota, Metazoa, Arthropoda, Insecta, Diptera, Culicidae. The record is from RefSeq and is a predicted model, not a curated record. The transcript is spliced from 4 exons.
UGGCCGUCCAAGAAGAAAACGUAGCCAUUGGUGCCAUCUAUCGACCACAGGUUAAAGAUUGGCGAUCCGUUGGAUACCGACCGAGUUAUAGGCAAAAGUUGGUGCAAAAAUGAGGAAAAUCUUCAUUUUUUUUAAUUUUUUGAUUUUUUUAUUAUUUUUCAUUCUUUUUUUUAUUUCAAGCAUUAUUAGAGUGAAAAGAAACUCAUUGCAACCCAUUGGCAUUAAAAUAAAACAAUUUAAUUUUUUUUGCAAAAUUUCCCAAAAAAAUCGUAAGGGGUAAGCCUUAUGAAAUUUUCGAGUGGAAAAUUUUUUUGAAAUUUUUUUCUGAUUUUUUAUUCUUUUUUUAAUUUAAAGCACUAUUUUAGUGAAAAGAAACUUAUUGCAACAAAUUCCCAUCAAAAUAUAUCACAUUUAAAAUUUUUGCUACAUUGCUCAAAAAUGAGGAAAAUUUUACAUUUUCUCAAACAGAGUAAGGAACUUGAUUCCUCGAAUAAUUUCUGGCACAGACAUCUAAGGGCAUGGCUGUCCAAGAAGAAAAUGUAGCCAUUGGUGCCAUCUACCGACCACAGGUUAAAGUUUGGCGAUCCGUUGGAUACCGACCGAGUUAUAGGCAAAACUUGGUGCAAAAAUGAAGAAAAUUUUACAUUUUCUCAAACAGGGUAUGGAACUUGGUUCCUCGAAUAACUUCUGGCACAGACAUCUGAGGGCAUACCCGUCCAAGAAGAAAAUGUAGCCAUUGGUGCCAUCUAUCGACCACAGGUUAAAGAUUGGCGAUUCGUUGGAUACCGACCGAGUUAUAGGCAAAAUUUGGUGCAAAAAUGAGGAAAAUUUUACAUUUUCUCAAACAGGGUAAGGAACUUGAUUCCUCGAAUAAUUUCUGGCACAGACAUCUAAGGGCAUGGCUGUCCAAGAAGAAAAUGUAGCCAUUGGUGCCAUCUAUCGACCACAGGUUAAAGUUUGGCGAUCCGUUGGAUACCGACCGAGUUAUAGGCAAAACUUGGUGCAAAAAUGAAGAAAAUUUUACAUUUUCUCAAACAGGGUAUGGAACUUGGUUCCUCGAAUAACUUCUGGCACAGACAUCUGAGGGCAUGGCUCUCCAAGAAGAAAAUGUAGCCAUUGGUGCCAUCUAUCGACCACAGGUUAAAGAUUGGCGAUUCGUUGGAUACCGACCGAGUUAUAGGCAAAAUUUGGUGCAAAAAUGAGGAAAAUCUACUUUUUUUUGUUAAUUUUUUGAUUUUUUUAUUAUUUUUCAUUCUUUUUUUUAUUUCAAGCAUUAUUAGAGUGCAAAGAAACUCAUUGCAACCCAUUGGCAUUAAAAUAAAACAAUUUAAUUUUUUUUGCAAAAUUUCCCAAAAAAAUCGUAAGGGGUAAGCCUUAUGAAAUUUUCGAGUGGAAAAUUUUUUUGAAAUUUUUUUCUGAUUUUUUAUUCUUUUUUUAAUUUAAAGCACUAUUUUAGUGAAAAGAAACUUAUUGCAACAAAUUCCCAUCAAAAUAUAUCACAUUUAAAAUUUUUGCUACAUUGCUCAAAAAUGAGGAAAAUUUUACAUUUUCUCAAACAGGGUAAGGAACUUGAUUCCUCGAAUAACUUCUGGCACAGACAUCUAAGGGCAUGGCUGUCCAAGAAGAAAAUGUAGCCAUUGGUGCCAUCUACCGACCACAGGUUAAAGUUUGGCGAUCCGUUGGAUACCGACCGAGUUAUAGGCAAAACUUGGUGCAAAAAUGAGGAAAAUUUUACAUUUUCUCAAACAGGGUAUGGAACUUGGUUCCUCGAAUAACUUCUGGCACAGACAACUAAGGGUAUGGCCGUCCUAGAAGAAAAUGUAGCCAUUGCUGCCAUCUAUCGACCACA